This is a long non-coding RNA of Pelodiscus sinensis (Chinese soft-shelled turtle), 2183 nucleotides long. RefSeq lists it as uncharacterized. NCBI's taxonomy places the organism in Eukaryota, Metazoa, Chordata, Testudines, Trionychidae. The record is from RefSeq and is a predicted model, not a curated record.
GGCCAGAUCCGGCCCACGGGCAGUAUUUUACCCAGGCCUGCUAUAGAUCGACAGCACAGGAUGUCUGCAACUUGAAUUAACAGAUAAGCUGGUAUAAUAGUAGUUACUCACUAAGAGUACUAGUCAUCAGGGGGAUAUGAGAUACAAACUAUGAUAAUGGCUUUCAGAGCCAUUUACUAGAAAUUUAAUGGCCUUUGAUAUACAGAAGGUCAGAAUUAAUGAUCAAUUAGCCUUCAGGCCUUAAUUUAGACGACAAAGGAACACUGGAUCUCAGGAACUGAGGAUCUGGAGAUGAGUGGGCAUUAUUGUUGUUAAAGACCCUUCUUCUCACAUAUCUCUCUCCCCCAUUCCCUGAGCACCUCCUAUACCCUGAAUGCGGAGGAGGAGAAGCUAACAUGCUCCUCUUCUGCGUUGCCUGGGCAACAGCAGGGGGAGGAGAGAGAAAAGGAGAGACUAUGCCCAUUCACAGUUUUAGUGUGGGUUCCACAACAAUCCCUAACAUCAGGGAGCAACGAUUGCAAGGAGAGAGACUCAGAACUUGCAGCCCUGGGCAGCAGCAUACUCACUACAGACGGCAUCUUUGGGGAAUGUAGCUGUUUCACACUAACCUCAGCAAGCUGUGAUUUUCAGAGGCUAAUCAUCUCUGCCAAAAGAGACUUCAGCUGUAAAAUUGGCUUCCAACUUGACAGAAGAGUUGUGGGCAAUGGUUAAUCAUCCUUGUCAGAGAUGACUUAUCCCUGGGCCUCUCUUGGACACCAAUGCUUUGCUUUUGGCAGACUGCACUGAACAACAGAGCAACUACCUCCAGAUCUGCCACAUCAUCCCCACUUCAGCAUCAGGAGACUGGUUCUAGUAGAGACCUACUGGAAAACGUGAACCAGAAAACAAAUAAAAUGAAUUCUACUCUGUAAAGCAAAUUAUGAGCACUUGAUAAAGUGAAAGCCACCAGAAAGCCACCACUUAAGGUCUCAACAGCUGACAACCUGCAUAGUCCAGAAAACUGUCUUCAACAAGUACAAAACUGAGACACACAGUGACAGAGACUCAGAAAAUUAAAGACACUUGUGAAAAAAGAUAGUGGGUCCCUUGAUAUAUACAACUCAUGAAGCAAGUGCUCAAAGAAUCUCAACCUUCAGAAUCCCAGAGAUAAAUAUUUUGCACAGCUAGGAAGAAACAUAGGGAAAAUAAAACCCAUUCUUUGCUGGGCCUGGACACUGAGGAUGAUCUUCUAUGUGUCAGUUAAUAGUUAUCAGAAUCCAUAAAAAAUAAAAAUGCAUUUGCUAUCCAGUUCUGUAAUUGCCAUUCUCAACUGAAUCCAAAGAUGAAGAGAAUCCUAGCCACAUCCCAUAAAACUUUUAAAAUAAAAUACUUUAUUAUUUUUUCUUGAUACAGUUCCUGUAACAGAAAUACUGACUACAGUAUGAAGGAGUUUUUUAAAUAUAUAAACUUCUGCAUCUAUCUUGUCUCCAUUUAUGAGCAAUGUAACACUGAACAACCCUCUUCUCUUUCAGUAUAUUUCUUCUACACAGAUAUGUCUGGAAACCUGCAUGGAUACAAAAUUGGUAUCCGCAUCUGCAAAAAAUAAUCCACGGAUAUCCGCAGAUAACUGCGAAUAUAAAACAGAUAUCCAAAGAUUUGCAGAGCUCUAUGUAUAUUCUACUCUGCCUUCUGUGUAGGAACUAUACUAUGAAAACUUUUCUAUCUUCUUUCCUGCUUGACAAAACACACAUCUUACAUGCAUCCCCUGACUUAAUUACAUAUUAUUCAUUCAAACUGUGGGCAAAUCAUUCCUUCAUUUCCUACUUCCUUACGGAAUGAUAUUACUUUUUUGGGAUGCUUCAUUUAUUGUUCUAGGAUGUAGGUAAGUAAAGACAAAAAUGUUCUUCUGUAAAGUACUAUCUAAUUUGAAUUUUGCAGAGUCAUUCAACUGUACUUUCUUGUUACAGAUUAGUGGAAAGUAGAAGUUAUUUAUAUGUGAAGUUAAUUGCUAGCUUUAUAUGUCAAAAUAAGAAGAAUAAAUAUGGAUAAUUUUUAAAACAAGAAUUUUUCUUUUACCUGCUAGGACUGGAGCUCAGUUGUUUUUCUUCUCUAAUAGUUCAGGAUAUCACAAACAUACCAGGCCCUGUGUAAUCUACGACAAAAUGGAUUCAAAUGUGCAGAAAGCACACCUGAUUUUUGCAGCA